This 253-nucleotide ribosomal RNA is filed under the name uncultured bacterium. RNAcentral describes it as "partial 16S ribosomal RNA". It matches the Rfam family "Bacterial small subunit ribosomal RNA", at positions 524 to 776 of the family's 1533-position model. The record is from RNAcentral.
GACAGAGGGUGCAAGCGUUAAUCGGAAUUACUGGGCGUAAAGCGCACGUAGGUGGAUUAUUAAGUUGGAUGUGAAAUCCCUGGGCUUAACCUAGGAAUUGCAUUCAAAACUGCUAGUCUAGAGUACAGUAGAGGGAAGUGGAAUUUCCGGUGUAGCGGUGAAAUGCGUAGAUAUCGGAAGGAACACCUGUGGCGAAAGCGGCUCACUGGACCAUAACUGACGCUGAGGCACGAAAGCUAGGGGAGCAAACAGG